UGCUAACAAUUUAAUUUAUUAGAUUUGUUAGUUUCCAUCAGGUCACCCCUAUGUCAAGCUUUAACACCAUCUCCUGGUGAAAUUUUGGAACUACUACAUGUUUUGGGAUAGCCAAUGUGCCUGGGUCAAAUUCGAUACCCAAUUCUACACCAUCUUGUACCACCAUGCCACUUGACAAUC
Long non-coding RNA from Syngnathus acus (greater pipefish), 180 nucleotides. RefSeq lists it as uncharacterized. The record is from RefSeq and is a predicted model, not a curated record. The transcript is spliced from 2 exons. NCBI's taxonomy places the organism in Eukaryota, Metazoa, Chordata, Actinopteri, Syngnathiformes, Syngnathidae.